AAGCAGGUCAUAGUGAUCCGGUGGUUCUGAAUGGAAGGGCCAUCGCUCAACGGAUAAAAGGUACUCCGGGGAUAACAGGCUGAUACCGCCCAAGAGUUCAUAUCGACGGCGGUGUUUGGCACCUCGAUGUCGGCUCAUCACAUCCUGGGGCUGAAGUAGGUCCCAAGGGUAUGGCUGUUCGCCAUUUAAAGUGGUACGCGAGCUGGGUUUAGAACGUCGUGAGACAGUUCGGUCCCUAUCUGCCGUGGGCGCUGGAGAACUGAGGGGGGCUGCUCCUAGUACGAGAGGACCGGAGUGGACGCAUCACUGGUGUUCGGGUUGUCAUGCCAAUGGCACUGCCCGGUAGCUAAAUGCGGAAGAGAUAAGUGCUGAAAGCAUCUAAGCACGAAACUUGCCCCGAGAUGAGUUCUCCCUGACCCUUUAAGGGUCCUGAAGGAACGUUGAAGACGACGACGUUGAUAGGCCGGGUGUGUAAGCGCAGCGAUGCGUUGAGCUAACCGGUACUAAUGAACCGUGAGGCUUAACCUUACAACGCCGAAG
Molecule: ribosomal RNA, 540 nt
Filed under: Escherichia coli
Lineage: Bacteria; Pseudomonadati; Pseudomonadota; Gammaproteobacteria; Enterobacterales; Enterobacteriaceae
Description: partial 23S ribosomal RNA
Rfam family: Bacterial large subunit ribosomal RNA
Source: RNAcentral